GACAGAGGGUGCGAACGUUGUUCGGAAUUACUGGGCGUAAAGGGCCAGUAGGCGGCCAACUAAGUCACACGUGAAAUCCCCCAGGCUUAACCUGGGAACUGCGUGUGAUACUGGAUGGCUUGAAUUCGGGAGAGGGAUGCAGAAUUCCAGGUGUAGCGGUGAAAUGCGUAGAUAUCUGGAGGAAUACCGGUGGCGAAGGCGGCAUCCUGGACCGACAUUGACGCUGAACGGCGAAAGCUAGGGGAGCAAACGGG
This 254-nucleotide ribosomal RNA is filed under the name uncultured bacterium. RNAcentral describes it as "partial 16S ribosomal RNA". It matches the Rfam family "Bacterial small subunit ribosomal RNA", at positions 524 to 776 of the family's 1533-position model. The record is from RNAcentral.